UACGGAGGGUCCGAGCGUUAUCCGGAAUCAUUGGGUUUAAAGGGUCCGCAGGCGGUCAAUUAAGUCAGAGGUGAAAUCCCAUAGCUUAACUAUGGAACUGCCUUUGAUACUGGUUGACUUGAGUCAUAUGGAAGUAGAUAGAAUGUGUAGUGUAGCGGUGAAAUGCAUAGAUAUUACACAGAAUACCGAUUGCGAAGGCAGUCUACUGCGUAUGUACUGACGCUCAUGGACGAAAGCGUGGGGAGCGAACAGG
RNAcentral lists this ribosomal RNA (253 nucleotides) under uncultured bacterium. Its description in RNAcentral is "partial 16S ribosomal RNA". It matches the Rfam family "Bacterial small subunit ribosomal RNA", at positions 524 to 776 of the family's 1533-position model. The record is from RNAcentral.